Molecule: unclassified non-coding RNA, 252 nt
Filed under: Hevea brasiliensis (rubber tree)
Lineage: Eukaryota; Viridiplantae; Streptophyta; Magnoliopsida; Malpighiales; Euphorbiaceae
Source: RNAcentral
GGCGACGGCCGUUGCGAUCCAGAACGGUCUGGGCAUCAACCACGGCGCUGCAUUCGAUUUGCAGGCGGUCUGCUCGGGCUUCAUUUUCGCGCUGGCGGCUGGCGACAAUUUUCUGCGAAGCGGUGCGGUCAAGCGGGGAUUGGGGGUCUUUCUCGCCCAUCCUGGACUGGAACGACCGUGGAACCUGCGUGCUCUUCGGCGACGGCGCGGGCGCAGUGGUGCUUGAGGCUCAGCCGCAGGCGGGAACCUCCG